This 490-nucleotide ribosomal RNA is filed under the name Octopus insularis. Its description in RNAcentral is "partial 16S ribosomal RNA". It matches the Rfam family "Bacterial large subunit ribosomal RNA", at positions 1803 to 2565 of the family's 2925-position model. The record is from RNAcentral. Lineage: Eukaryota; Metazoa; Mollusca; Cephalopoda; Octopoda; Octopodidae.
UUUAUCAAAAACAUGUCUCUUUGAGAUUUUUUAAUAAAGAGUUGGGCCUGCUCGGUGAUUAAUAUUUAACAGCUGCGGUAUUAUAACUGUACUAAGGUAGCAUAAUAAUUUGCUCUAUAAAUUGGGGCUAGAAUGAAUGGUUUGACGAAAAUUUGACUGUCUCUAUUUUAUUUAUUAGAAAUUAAUUUUUAUAGUGAGAAAGCUUAAAUUGUUUAAAGGGACGAAAAGACCCUAUUGAGCUUAUAUUAUUUUAUAAAUUAUAUGAUUGUUGUUUAUUUAGAAUAAUUUUGAUUGGGGUGAUCAAGGAAUAAGAUUGUUUAAAUUAACUUCCUUAAUUAAUUUGUUUUGUGGAAAAAUAAACCAAAUUUUUUGCUUAGAAGAUAAGUUACCAUAGGGAUAACAGCGUAAUUUUUUUUGAGAGUUCAUAUUGAAAAAAGAGAUUGCGACCUCGAUGUUGGAUUAAAAUUAACCCUUAAGGUGAAGAGGCUUU